Molecule: long non-coding RNA, 1477 nt
Organism: Sarcophilus harrisii (Tasmanian devil)
Lineage: Eukaryota; Metazoa; Chordata; Mammalia; Dasyuromorphia; Dasyuridae
Exons: 4
Source: RefSeq, a predicted model, not a curated record
CAAAGGGUGGAACUGGAGGCCAACUUUCUGACAUCUUCUUAAGUAUUGUAAUGACCAGCACCAGUUUUAUUCCUCUAAAUGAGUUGUAAAUUUAUUAGGUACUUUUUAUUUCCGGGACACAGUACUAGGCAAUGGACAAUUCCUCAUAUCUAGAGGUGUGAGGAUUUGCUGAAGGAAGGGCAAAGUAUUGACACAGUGAGCUUUGCCCUGUUGGCUGUUGAGCAAUUCUGUUCCUGAAAGGGGACAUGAUCUUACCGUUAGAGGAAAGUCUUUGAGGAAGGUGGUAGAUCUUGGUCAAGCUGCUCCCUCCAAACGGAGAUCUGAUGAAGACUUUAGCUUAAAAAGUUCAAGGUCUCCCGCUGCAUCGAGAGCCAUCUCUAGUCAUCCUGAUCUUUAUCUGGCUGCUGGACCCAGAUGGCUCUGCUGGCGGAGAAGGGAGGCAGGUGACUUUGCCCAGCCCUCCCUCACUUAAAUCUAAUUCACCUGCAUGUCACAGCAUCACCUCUCUGAUGUCAUGGUCCUCUUCCAGAAUGAAAGACAAGCAACAACAACCCUUUUCAGAGAGAAAUUAUCACUGGAAAGCAGAUGCAACCAGAAACAGCCUAGAAUUUCUCAUGUCUCCACAAAAGGAUGCAUUAUAAAAGCCAUAAGAAUGGAAGAUAUCCCAGACUCCUCGGGCCAGCCAGAUGAUGAUACUACAAGCACAUGCAAUACAGUGGAAAGGCUGAGUUGGCUGAUGCAACUGCACAUUCAAUGAUGCUCACAAGAUGAAGAAACUGAGAAGACAGAUUAAGUGACUUGCCCAGAAUUACAUAGCUAAGAAGUGUUUGAGGACAGACUUGAUCUCAGAUUCAAAUUUAUCUAUCAUCCAUCCUCCUACACACAUAUCCCAAAAGUAAACUCGACACACUGAAGAAAGGGCAAUUUCAGAACUCUACCACGAUCUCAGAUAACCUUAGGAAACUUCACAGAAGUACCAUAAAAGGGAAAAAAAGAAUGUCUAUCAAAAUUUCCAGAACUCUUUUGUACAUACCGUGUACAACCUUGAGCCUACUUCCUCCUGGACUCUGUGAGUAUUUAUGGGAAAAUAUGUGCUUUGGAUAGAGACACACAGGAUAUUUGUGUAUAUUUGUGCUAAUUAUUAAUACUAUGCUACUUUAGUAAACACCCAUAUCUAAAAGUAAAUUAAAUCUGGCUGAGUAAUUAUUAACUGAUAAUCAAUGGGAAAAGCAUAGUCAUUUGGAUACAAUAAUGAUAGAGCUAGAAAAUUAUUCCUCAGCUCCAAAGAGUAACCUAGAAUAAAGAAGAAUCAUUUCUACCCUCUAUAUAUCCAGCCUACCCAAGUGAGGGAGGGUUGAAAGACUCAUAUGAGAGACAUUUUAAAGAGUCAGUUUCACUUAUCAGUUCCAUAUUCUUUUCUGUUUCCAUUUCUCUAGUUCUAUAAUUUUUAAAUUUUCUCCUCUUAUGCUUAUUUUAG